GGCCCUAUCGUCUAGCGGCCUAGGACGCCGCCCUCUCACGGCGGUAACAGGGGUUCGAGUCCCCUUAGGGUCACCA
RNAcentral lists this transfer RNA (76 nucleotides) under Petroclostridium sp. X23. RNAcentral's name for it is "tRNA-Glu". It matches the Rfam family "tRNA". From Rfam's summary of the family: Transfer RNA (tRNA) molecules are approximately 80 nucleotides in length. Their secondary structure includes four short double-helical elements and three loops (D, anti-codon, and T loops). Further hydrogen bonds mediate the characteristic L-shaped molecular structure. tRNAs have two regions of fundamental functional importance: the anti-codon, which is responsible for specific mRNA codon recognition, and the 3' end, to which the tRNAs corresponding amino acid is attached (by aminoacyl-tRNA synthetases). tRNAs cope with the degeneracy of the genetic code in two manners: having more than one tRNA (with a specific anti-codon) for a particular amino acid; and 'wobble' base-pairing, i.e. permitting non-standard base-pairing at the 3rd anti-codon position. Lineage: Bacteria; Bacillati; Bacillota; Clostridia; Eubacteriales; Oscillospiraceae. The record is from RNAcentral.